AGAAGUUGUUGUACCAGCUGGAUGGUGAUGCAGAUCUCCUGGUCUGGAUUGGUCUGACUGACUCCGUUAAUGAGGGGACCUGGAAAUGGGUGGACGGCACACCACUGACCACAUCGUACUGGAAGAGUGGUCAGCCGGACCAUGGUGGUACCAACAACGAGGAGGAUUGUGUCGAGGUCUACCAUCGGGACAGCGUUUUGGCCAACUGGAACGAUGCACCGUGCAACCACAUGCUGCACUGGAUCUGUGAGAAAUGACAGAAAUAGCUAUACAGUAUAGGUCAAAUCCACAUCUUGUUUAAAUGUGUUUAUUUUAUUGUUGCACAUUAACAUUUUCCCUAAGAUUGUGUAAUUAACUGAGCACGUGCAUUACACGCUACAUGGUAAUAUCUGUCUGUCUUUCAGCUGUAAUUCAUUUUUGCCAAUAGAUUAUUGGCAGCCUUUUGGAUCAGUCACAAUACUG
Molecule: non-coding RNA, 462 nt
Organism: Salvelinus sp. IW2-2015
Lineage: Eukaryota; Metazoa; Chordata; Actinopteri; Salmoniformes; Salmonidae
Source: RefSeq, a predicted model, not a curated record